RNAcentral lists this small nuclear RNA (81 nucleotides) under Meriones unguiculatus (Mongolian gerbil). RNAcentral describes it as "U12 minor spliceosomal RNA (ENSMUGG00000016645.1)". Lineage: Eukaryota; Metazoa; Chordata; Mammalia; Rodentia; Muridae. The record is from RNAcentral.
AUACCUUAAAGUUAUGAGUAAGGAAAAUAAGAAUUGCAGGUGACACCUCAGUCCUCAUUGCUAAUGUGAGACUAUAUGUAC